CCUACGGGUGGCAGCAGUGGGGAAUAUUGCACAAUGGGGGAAACCCUGAUGCAGCGACGCCGCGUGAGGGAAGAAGUAUUUCGGUAUGUAACGCUCUAUCAGCCGGGAAGAAAAUGACGGUACCUGACUCAGACGCCACGGCUAACUACGUGCCAGCAGCCGCGGUAAUGCGUAUGGAGCAAGCGUGAUCCGGAUUUACUGGGUGUAAAGGGAGCGUAGACGGCCAGACAAGUCAGAAGUGAAAGCCCAGGGCUCAACCCUGGGACUGCUUUUGAAACUGCCGGGCUGGAGUGCAGGAGAGGUAAGCGGAAUUCCUAGUGUAGCGGUGAAAUGCGUAGAUAUUAGGAGGAACACCAGUGGCGAAGGCAGCUUACUGGACUGUAACUGACAUUGAGGCUCGAAAGCGUGGGGAGCAAACAGGAUUAGAUACCCUAGUAGUC
RNAcentral lists this ribosomal RNA (440 nucleotides) under uncultured bacterium. RNAcentral describes it as "partial 16S ribosomal RNA". It matches the Rfam family "Bacterial small subunit ribosomal RNA", at positions 338 to 795 of the family's 1533-position model. The record is from RNAcentral.